Non-coding RNA from Coffea arabica (coffee), 1740 nucleotides. Lineage: Eukaryota; Viridiplantae; Streptophyta; Magnoliopsida; Gentianales; Rubiaceae. The record is from RefSeq and is a predicted model, not a curated record.
UUUGGUGUUGGAAAUUGGAAAAUUGCUUCAUGUAUUCAUGUUCCGUAGCUAUUUGUAUAAGCCCACAAUUUUUUGCUUUAUCCUACUACCUUCUGCUUCGUUUAUGCUUCCUUUAUUCAUGCUAUAAACUGUAAACCAUGGCUUCAACUGAUGCACUUGCACAUUCAACGAAUAAGAACAUUGUUCGCAAUCGAAGAUUAAGAGAAAAAUAUGCUUCCUUAUCAGUGGAAGAAAAAGAAGCUCGUAGAGCUAAACAAAGAGAAGCUUAUCAAAAGAGGAGAGGAAGGAAAGCUGCUGCAUCCACAUCUUCUAUGAAUCAACAGCAAACUGAUGGUAUAGAACUUCCAGUUGGGUGUGACGCACAGCAAAACAAUGAGCACAAUAACCAACAGAGUAUUGCUGUUAAACAACUUCUGCAACAGAAUAGAAACAAAGAGACUAAUCUGCAACAAUCUAUUGCUGUCAAAAGUAAUUCUCUGUGCAAAACCAAUGGUAAAUCAAAAAGCAAGCUGAAAAAGCAUGAUUUUGUAUUUUCGACAUUUGAACAAGGUUCUUCAUCAAAAAAUUCGUCCAACUAUAAAUGCAGAAGAAUCAAUAAACUAAAUGUGUCAGGUGAUCCUCCUAUAUGCGAUAGCUGCUCUAAUUUCUUGCAUGAAACAGUUGAUAAUCUUGCAGGUAUAUCAAUGACAGUACAGCCUCAGCCAGUGGAAACCAAUGUUUCUAAUGUCAUAAAAAAUCAUCCAAAAGUGAAAAUGUAUAUAAAGAUGAGAACUUUGAUGAGACUCAGAGGCAACUACCUACAUUACUGGCCUCAAAGAUUCAAAGAUGCUUUUUUGUUGGAAGUUUUUGUUUUAAAGCCCACUUCUACAGACUGCUCAUCUCCUUCAUUAAUAUUUUAGCAUUCAUUUUAUCAGGUUAUAUAAAAUGCAUUUGAAGAAUAGGAAGCAUAAGUUCUUUUUGCUUUCAUAUGUGUUCAUUAUUUAUAACAAAUCUCUAUCUCCCCUCUCAGGUCUUUUGUUAUUUGAAUAAACUAAAUCACUCAUUGUUGUGAUUCCUUGCAGUUGACCUUCUAUUCAAUGUAUCAGAAGAUUCAGAUUAUGUCCGGACUAUUCUAGCUAAAGCUAUAGACAAACGUCCUGACCUCAAAACUAAGGCUGCUGAGUCAAAUAAAGCAGCAAAGAUUGGAUAAGCUUCAGCACUUACAAGAAGUGACAACAUUCAAGUAACCCUAUACUAUUGUAUUCAAGAUUGGAUAAGCAAGCACUUACAAGAAGUGACAACAUUCAAGUAACCCUAUACUAUUGUAAUCAUGUCUCUCACAAUUUUGCCAGCUCUAGAGAAUAUCAACGUGAUGUGAUUAUAUCUACUAUCCAAUUCAUUCUUAUAAACCUUAUUCCUAAUUCUAGAAAAUGUUGGUCCAAGUGUAUCAGAUGUCAAAGCUUCAGAAAUUCUAACCUCAACUACUUUAAUGCAUAUGUCACCUGAUUAUUUAAGCAUAUGUCAGCUUCUCAUGUUUUUGGAUAGACCACAAGACAUUGCUGCUGUAUUUGAGAAACUCUUGAGAACAAAAAGUAAGAAUGAUGGUUUAUUGGGAUUUCAAAUAGCAUUUGACCUUGUAGAGAAUGAACACCAAGCUUAUCUUUUGAAAAUGAGGGACUAACUUUCCAGUCCCAAGAAAGAUAUUCAGAUAACAGAGGGUAAUCAAAAUUCUGAAAGAAACUAUUUAUGCUGCGAAGUUAC